Molecule: non-coding RNA, 459 nt
Organism: Paramuricea clavata
Lineage: Eukaryota; Metazoa; Cnidaria; Anthozoa; Malacalcyonacea; Plexauridae
Source: the annotation of a GenBank genome assembly
UUUUUUUCAUAUGAUCCUAAACUCACGCAUUUUCUGUUUCUUGUCAUGAAUGUAAAUAAUACUUAAUGCCAACUUUUUCACAAUAUUGACAGGUGGCUGUUAUCUUCUCAAUCCUAAAAUAUUUAGCUUGAAACAGAGGGUUUUCCCCGUUUAUAUCAUACUUCAUAAAAUUUCGUCCAAUCCGAUCUCUUUCGACAGAUGCUAUUUGCUAGCAAAAACAACUUUCCAGAUAUCGAAACAUGCAACAUUUCAAUAUAUCAAUGCAAAUUCGCACGCUUCUAAAGAUAAAGCGACCUUGCUAAUUUUCUGGACUUAUCUCGAACGAGUUCAUCUCCCACAUGAGUCAACUUUUACAGUGUAAAAUAUCAUGUUGAUUAUAAUUGUUGCUUUGACUGAAAGCUACAAAUCUGGUCUUCGUAUGUUCUUGAAAAAGCAAUUGGCAACAAGUAUAGAGUCUCC